GACGAACGCUGGCGGCGUGCCUAAUACAUGCAAGUAGAACGCUGAAGGAGUAGCUUGCUUCUCUGGAUGAGUUGCGAACGGGUGAGUAACGCGUAGGUAACCUGCCUGGUAGCGGGGGAUAACUAUUGGAAACGAUAGCUAAUACCGCAUAAGAGUAGAUGUCGCAUGACAUUUGCUUAAAAGGUGCAAUUGCAUCACUACCAGAUGGACCUGCGUUGUAUUAGCUAGUUGGUGAGGUAACGGCUCACCAAGGCAACGAUACAUAGCCGGACUGAGAGGGAGAUCGGCCAAACUGGGAAGGGGAAAAGGCCCAGACGCCUACGGGAGGCAGCAGGAGGGAAUCUUCGGCAAUGGACGGAAGUCUGAACGAGCAAAGCCGCGGGAGGGAAGAAGGUUUUCGGAUCGUAAAGCUCUGUUGUAAGAGAAGAAAGAGUGUGAGAGUGGAAAGUUCACACUGUGACGGUAGCUUACCAGAAAGGGACGGCUAACUACGUG
This 495-nucleotide ribosomal RNA is filed under the name uncultured bacterium. RNAcentral describes it as "partial 16S ribosomal RNA". It matches the Rfam family "Bacterial small subunit ribosomal RNA", at positions 28 to 507 of the family's 1533-position model. The record is from RNAcentral.